RNAcentral lists this long non-coding RNA (1080 nucleotides) under Dromaius novaehollandiae (emu). RNAcentral describes it as "lncRNA (ENSDNVG00000010440.1)". Lineage: Eukaryota; Metazoa; Chordata; Aves; Casuariiformes; Dromaiidae. The record is from RNAcentral.
GGAAACCGAGGCACGGCGCUGCCGGGACGCCGCUCACCUGGCCGCUCCGGCCCCGCUGCCACUGGCAGUUGAAGAGGAAGGUGCUGAAGUAAGGCACGAAGCUGCUGUCGUGCAGUGCCAGCAGGUAGCUCUCGGUGAACUGGAAGCAGCCGGGGAACUGCCGCACCAGCUGCCAGGUGCAAUCCAGGAAAAGCAGGAAAACGGGCGCCUGCGGCACACGCGCCCUGGUUGCAGAGGCGCCGGCGGGGGCCGCGUCCCCCCUCCCCGCCCCGCGCCCGGCUCUCACCUCGUCCCGCGGGCUGGGGCGGCCGAGGCCCAGGCGGCGGGCGAAGGGGUGUCCCGCGGCCACCCACUCCCUCUGCACCAGGCUCUGGAAGCCGGGCAGCGUGCGGGCGUGCGGGUCCCCCAGCAGCUGCGCCAGCGAGGCCAGCAGGCAGUUGAGGUCGCGGUCCUCCGGCUCUGGCGGGCGGCAGGGAUGCGGGAUGCCGGCGGGCAUCCCCGGCCGGCAUCGCCCCCGUCUGAACCCCCCCCCGUCCGAACCCCCCCGCCCAAAAACCCGGCGGUUUUACCUUGCAAGACGACGGAGCAGCGUCUCGCGGCCAGCAGGGAAACCACCUCGCUCGCCUUCCUCACGCAGGCCCUGCCGGGGAGCGCGGCGAUGCCUCGAGCGCCCCGGACCCCCCCGGCACCCCGGGGCGGAUGCCGCCCGCCGCGGAGGGGGUUCUCCCCGGCUUCCCCCGCUCACCGCACGUGGUCCAGCCAGCGGGUGCCCUCCAGCGCCGACAGCCACUUGUCGUCGGCCACCGGCGAGUCUGAAAGGGCGCGGGAAAACGGCGGCGUCCGGCGAGGGAAGGGACCCGGGGGCCCGGGGGCCCGGUGUCCCCCCCCCCGGCGGCUCUCACCGGGCAGGCAGAGCGCCCGCAGCUUGAGGUAGGCGAGCUGCAGCUCAGCCAGGCUGGGCAGCUCGGCCGCCGCGUCCACCAGCACGCACUGCGCGUGGCCCGCCAGCAUCAGCGCCUCCAGGCACCUGGGGGGGGGGGAAAGCCCCCAGGGGGGCAGCGAGUGGGGCUGGGCCCCACG